AAUUAAAAGAUUAUUUAUUUGUACGGUUAAAACGAAUAACCGGGCAGUGACACGUGGUGUGCCAUGUGUAUCUCACGCUGACUUACAAGAACCAAUUUUUAACAGCAAAAAUGAAUGAUUUUUUAACA
Molecule: microRNA precursor, 128 nt
Filed under: Gossypium hirsutum (cotton)
Lineage: Eukaryota; Viridiplantae; Streptophyta; Magnoliopsida; Malvales; Malvaceae
Description: MIR7502 microRNA precursor family
Rfam family: MIR7502 microRNA precursor family
Source: Rfam by way of RNAcentral